Molecule: ribosomal RNA, 372 nt
Filed under: uncultured bacterium
Lineage: Bacteria
Description: bacterial SSU rRNA
Rfam family: Bacterial small subunit ribosomal RNA
Source: RNAcentral
GACGAAGGGGGCUAGCGUUGUUCGGAAUUACUGGGCGUAAAGCGCGUGUAGGCGGUUUUCCAAGUUGGGUGUGAAAGCCUUGGGCUUAACCCAAGAAAUGCACUCAGUACUGGAAGACUAGAGGACCGGAGAGGAUAGUGGAAUUCCCAGUGUAGUGGUGAAAUACGUAGAGAUUGGGAAGAACACCAGUGGCGAAGGCGGCUAUCUGGACGGUUUCUGACGCUAAGACGCGAAAGCGUGGGGAGCAAACAGGAUUAGAUACCCUGGUAGUCCACGCCGUAAACGAUGGGUGCUAGACGUUGGCGAGCUUGCUCGUCAGUGUCGCAGCUAACGCGUUAAGCACCCCGCCUGGGGAGUACGGCCGCAAGGUUG